CCCUUAGGUCAGGGAUACCCUCGGGAAACUGAGGCUAAUACCUGAUAGGAGAUUUUUUCUGGAAUGAAUUUUCUCUCAAAUUCGCGCCUAAGGAUGAGACUGCGGCUGAUUAGGUAGUUGUUGAGGUAAUGGCCCAACAAGCCAAUGAUCAGUAAGGGCUCUUUGCGGAGUCGCCCUGAGAAGGAAUCUGAGACACUAUUCCUAGCUCUACGGAGUGCAGCAGUUACGAAUCUUUUGCAAUGCGCGUAAGCGUGACAAAGCGAACCAAAGUGUUUUCCGCACAGGAAAACUUUUUACUGCUUUAAAAAGGCAGCAGAAUAAGGACUGGGCAAGACCGGUGCCAGCCGCCGCGGUAAUCCCGGCAGUCCAAGUCGCAGCCAGUAUUAUUGGGUCUAAAACAUCCGUAGCUUGUCUGUUAAGUUUUUUGUGAAAUCUCGUAUCUUAAGCACGAGGCGAGCAAGAAAUACUGACAGACUAGAGACCGGAAGAUGUAAGGAGUAUGUCUGAGGUAGUGGUAAAAUACGUUAAUCUUGGGCAGACUAACAAUUGGCGAAGGCACCUUACAAGCACGGAUCUGACAGUGAGGGAUGAAGGCUAGGGGCGCAAAAGGGAUUAGAUACCCCUGUAGUCCUAGCAGUAAACGCUGUUCACUAAACAUCGGUCUCUCCUCGGGAGAAAUCGGUGCUGAAGCGAAGGCGAAGAGUGAACUACCUGGGAAGUAUAGUCGCAAGAUCGAAACUUAAAGGAAUUGGCGGGGGAGCACA
RNAcentral lists this ribosomal RNA (764 nucleotides) under uncultured archaeon. Its description in RNAcentral is "bacterial SSU rRNA". It matches the Rfam family "Archaeal small subunit ribosomal RNA", at positions 112 to 880 of the family's 1478-position model. The record is from RNAcentral.